This is a long non-coding RNA of Ceratosolen solmsi marchali, 87 nucleotides long. RefSeq lists it as uncharacterized. NCBI's taxonomy places the organism in Eukaryota, Metazoa, Arthropoda, Insecta, Hymenoptera, Agaonidae. The record is from RefSeq and is a predicted model, not a curated record. The transcript has 3 exons.
AAAUACAAGGAAAGGCGGUAGAAUCAAAGGAAACACCAACUGCAAAACCUGAUAAUAUUGCAGAAAAAUCAAAGGAUACACUAACUC